Molecule: small nucleolar RNA, 82 nt
Filed under: Trifolium pratense (red clover)
Lineage: Eukaryota; Viridiplantae; Streptophyta; Magnoliopsida; Fabales; Fabaceae
Description: snoRNA snoZ161_228
Rfam family: Small nucleolar RNA Z161/Z228
About the family: Z161 and Z228 are members of the C/D class of snoRNA which contain the C (UGAUGA) and D (CUGA) box motifs.
Source: Rfam by way of RNAcentral
AAACCAUAUGAUGAAUUUGGAUUUUCAACUCACGACGGUCGUCUGAUUUUCACUUGAUGUAUGAUCCUAUUUUCUGAUGGUU